GACGAACGCUGGCGGCGUGCCUAAUACAUGCAAGUAGAACGCUGAAGGAGGAGCUUGCUCUUCUGGAUGAGUUGCGAACGGGUGAGUAACGCGUAGGUAACCUGCCUGGUAGCGGGGGAUAACUAUUGGAAACGAUAGCUAAUACCGCAUAAGAGUAGAUGUUGCAUGACAUUUACUUAAAAGGUGCAAUUGCAUCACUACCAGAUGGACCUGCGUUGUAUUAGCUAGUUGGUGGGGUAACGGCUUACCAAGGCGACGAUACAUAGCCGACCUGAGAGGGGGAUCGGCCACACUGGGACUGAGACACGGCCCAGACUCCUACGGGAGGCAGCAGUAGGGAAUCUUCGGCAAUGGACGGAAGUCUGAACGAGCAACGCCGCGUGAGUGAAGAAGGUUUUCGGAUCGUAAAGCUCUGUUGUAAGAGAAGAACGAGUGUGAGAGUGGAAAGUUCACACUGUGACGGUAUCUUACCAGAAAGGGACGGCUAACUACGUG
This 495-nucleotide ribosomal RNA is filed under the name uncultured bacterium. RNAcentral's name for it is "partial 16S ribosomal RNA". It matches the Rfam family "Bacterial small subunit ribosomal RNA", at positions 28 to 507 of the family's 1533-position model. The record is from RNAcentral.